Brassica napus (rape) is the source of this 2366-nucleotide long non-coding RNA. RefSeq lists it as uncharacterized. Lineage: Eukaryota; Viridiplantae; Streptophyta; Magnoliopsida; Brassicales; Brassicaceae. The transcript has 2 exons. The record is from RefSeq and is a predicted model, not a curated record.
AUUAGCUAUUUUACUUUGGUUUUAUUAGCUAGCAUUUAAUUUCUUUCGUUUUAUUUCUUUCAAAUUUAGGAGACCCAAGUAGGAGGACCUGAAUAUCGACCGACGACGAGACGUCGACAUCGUUCGACAUAGGCAACCACACGACGAUCGAUGUAACACUUACACAUCGAUCGAUAUCUAAUCCGGUCAGAUGUAUCUUCCCUACUUGUUACAUUUCUUACAUUAUAAACUAUUCAUCAUAACUCUUGCUGAGUUACACUGGGACAGUGUAAUUUAAGUCUGGGGGGAGAUUUACUGAUAUAAUUUAUUUUAUUCUUAUGUAAAAAGGAAUUUCAAAUAAAUUAUGCUUAGCUAUUGAAAAUAGGGACUAUAAUCCUAUAUUGAUUUAAACAUGAAUAUCUAACCAAUCUUUACCACCAUUUUAGAUUUACUGAUUGCAGAUCUAUACUAUAUUAAAAGAGAUAUAUAAGGAGUAGAGAGGCUGUCCACGUCGGACAAUUAAAUCAACCAAUAGAAAUGUUUAUUUUUGCCACGUCAGCCGGACUUUGUAAUGUUGGGCUUCAUUGUUUUAUUUAGCCCAAAUGUUGAUCAAGAUGAGGUGUCUUCGAAAACUGAAACAAAGUUUAUCGCGUUCGGCUCGACGGUGUUAUCUUUCUGAUCCACGAUGACGUUACUACCGAUGUCUCGGAGAAUCGAGCGCGAUCCUAGAGAAAACGAAGUCGCGGCAGCAGCUUCAAGGUUCACCAAACCCACGAAGAAGAAGAGGUGAAUUAAAGACAUUGAAACCAGUUGAUUAUAAAAUUUCAGAGUGAAGAUCUAAGAGCGACGGAGCUUCCCUCCUCCUGUUGCAGAAAACGAAGAUCUCUAUUUCGAAACGACAACGCUUUGACCGGCGACGAUGUUUGUUCUCCGACUACUUUUUGUAAUGGGCUUCGUUUAUACUGUUAUUGGCCCAUUACUAAUUACUCAUUGUCCUAUAAGGACUUUAAUCUAUAUUGCCCUACUAUCUCCCUUGUUUAUUCUAUAUUGUCCCACUAAUAACAAACAUUAUCUUUUUUAUUAUAUUUAAAUCGAAAACAUUGGAAAAGACAUAAAACCCCUUAAUGAAUCUAAGAAAUUACAAACUCAAAUCGGAUCAUCCACCCAAACCCAUACCCAAUACGGAUCCCAUCAAUUUAAUAAUAAUAAGUAAAUAAGAAAAAGAAAUCAAAAUCCCUAAUCUUUCCAGCUUCUUCUUCACGAGCCUCCUUCUUCAUUCUUUUUCUGUCUUUUUCAAUUUCUCGCACAACACAUUCUCUGUCUCUGAUGAACCCUCAUUCUAAAAACAGGGACACAGAUUUUAAAUCAGAAUGACGCAUGUACGUUGCUGAGUCUGGCACUCGUUGAAAAUUAAAACUCAAUCGGAGCCUGCGACUCGAUUCCGUCGCUUACAAGUUACAAACGCUUAACGCUUAAUAAAAAUAAGAAGAGAGAGGUCACCACCGAAGCAGUGAAGCCAUUGGUGGAUCUCGCAGCGGAGAAGGCGAUGGUGGUUCUGAGCAGUCAUACAACAAUCGAGGAGAACAAAAGCUCAGCCGGAAGCUAUGACGCGAUUCCGCCGCUUACAACGCUCUAGAAGUUGUGCACGCUUCAGCAAAACAAGGAGAGUUGAUUCACCACCAGAGGGGUGAAUCCGUUGGUAGACUUUUGGGGCAAAGUAGGGGACUGUAGUGGUGAAAUGGUAGAGAAGGCGAUUUGGAGGCUAUGUGGACAUUGUUUCAAAAAAGUAAUUUCCUUUUCACACAAAGGACAUUUUUACCAUACUUGGAUCGAGUUUGUUUAAGAUAGUGUUUGUGAGAUAUGGUUUAAAUCUUUUUGCUAAGCUGUUGGAUUAUCUUUGCCACUGUUUUUUUUUGGUCAAAUCUUUGCCACUGGUUUAGAUAUCGUUUAUGUUCAUAAAUGUGGCGUCAUUCUUGUAAAAUGACAGUAACUGAAUCCGAGAUGCGAUCAUAUGGGUCACUUGCAACGAAGAUUUCAUAUUGGCUGGGUAACUAAAUGUCUUCGCUUUAUGGUUUGAGCUUGUGUUUCUCAUGUUUGUUAGAUUUGAUUUACUAAUUUGGAAAGGAUCAACAAAAUAUCUUCGCAUUAUUCGCAAUGGAAUAGGAACAAAGCUGAUAAAGAAGUUGACAAAGUAUCUGAGGAUGCAGAGGAAGAGAAAUAAGGAUAGAACAUAAGGUUCAAAGGCUUGGAAUAUACUGAUUAUGUGUUAAUUAAGAAUUUAAAAGUGUAGUUUACGAAUAUUGCGUAGGAAAAUUUGUUAUGUUUGUUGCAAAACUAAUUUGGAUAUUUUGAAUGUGACUGAAUGUCAUAUAGAGUGUGAUUGGUUA